This 882-nucleotide long non-coding RNA is filed under the name Equus caballus (horse). RNAcentral's name for it is "lncRNA (ENSECAG00000055881.1)". The record is from RNAcentral. Lineage: Eukaryota; Metazoa; Chordata; Mammalia; Perissodactyla; Equidae.
AAUAAACCUUCAUAGCAACAUGGAAGGUCAGGUUCAAAAAUAGAAUUCCUGAAUUUCUCUGAGUUCCAUGAUGGGACAUGGUAGAAUGAGGGAAAGCAGACCCCUGGCCCACCCCUACUUCUCUUCUCAGCUCACUCAGCUCAGGCUCUGUCCUACACGACGAAGGGGACUUGAGUACAUUUACAUGGACAUGUCCAAGCUCCACACACAAUCCCACUCCCACCUCGCCAUACCCCUCUCUAACAAACAACUACCCCUUGGGCACUUUUCAGGUCCAGGAAUAAGUACUUUAAUGGUGUGGUCUGUAAAGAUGGAUGGACCUGGAGAAAAGGCUGGCCCGGGCCCAGAAAAUAGGCUGUACAAAGUUAAGGACAAAUCCCAGCCCAGGGACCAGCCUCCUCUUCUCCGGCUGCUGACCAAGCAAACCAACUUUCCAUCUUCCCUAUCUUGUCUCAAGAGGAAGUACUUCAAUGGCUUCCUGUUAAUACAGCUGAUGACGGGAGAACCCGGGCUGUGCAGCCUGCAGAGAUCUCCAGGGAGGCAGAUUGCUUAUAGCUGGAGGAAACAAACAGGCAGGGCAGCCUGUGCCCAACUUGUCCAGUGUGACUAUUGCUCAGAGACAGUCACAGAAGAGAGAAUUUUGGAUAUGUGAGGAAUGGCCUUCAAGAUAGACCAAGCAUUCAGAUUGGCUUCCUCUCCUUAGAGUUCCCUCCCUAGCCUACCCUGACCCCAUCCCACUCCACCCCCACCUCACCCCUCAACCACAGUUUCCAACCUGAGCCAUCUCCAGGCUGGCUGACUCCCACCACACCUCCUGCAAGCGGUGAAGGGAGGGCCGAGUCCAAUGCCCAGUCCUUCCUCCAAAGUUUACGAAAAGAGAAC